This is a long non-coding RNA of Anguilla anguilla (European eel), 307 nucleotides long. RefSeq lists it as uncharacterized. Lineage: Eukaryota; Metazoa; Chordata; Actinopteri; Anguilliformes; Anguillidae. The transcript has 3 exons. The record is from RefSeq and is a predicted model, not a curated record.
CCCUUUUUCCCUCUCACUCUGUAGGACAGGAACUUACUGAAAACCAGAAUGUCUGAGUUGGGCCCAAGACCACGAAAGGACAGACGUGGAGCGGCGGCCUGUGGUUGCAGAACGCGGGGUAAUGAUUUUCUUCAGCUCCACGGGCGAUGGGGCUCAUCCUGUCCGUGUCAGAGGCUUCCUGUCAUGUCCAGAUGUGGCUCAAAGGCUGGGGCCUCCAAGGGUAGGACGGAGUCUGAACAUGUGGAGAUGUCUGAACAUGAUUAUUCUUAAAGCGCCACUAGAGGGCAGCAGUUCCACUGUUAAUUCA